This 252-nucleotide ribosomal RNA is filed under the name Chloroparvula japonica. RNAcentral describes it as "partial Bacterial large subunit ribosomal RNA". It matches the Rfam family "Bacterial large subunit ribosomal RNA", at positions 146 to 445 of the family's 2925-position model. The record is from RNAcentral. Lineage: Eukaryota; Viridiplantae; Chlorophyta; Chloropicophyceae; Chloropicales; Chloropicaceae.
AGGUAUCGUUAACUGAAUACAUAGGUUAACGAGGCGAACGCGGAGAACUGAAACAUCUAAGUACCCGCAGGAAAAGAAAUCAAACGAGAUUCCCCCAGUAGCGGCGAGCGAACGGGGAUUAGCCCUUAAGUUACAGUGGAUUUAGCAGAACGCUCUGGAAAGUGCGGCGAUAGAGGGUGAUAGCCCCGUAUGCGAAAGGUCCAUUGUAGUGAAAUCGAGUAGGUCGGGACACGUGAAAUCUUGACUGAAUAU